Molecule: ribosomal RNA, 253 nt
Filed under: uncultured bacterium
Lineage: Bacteria
Description: partial 16S ribosomal RNA
Rfam family: Bacterial small subunit ribosomal RNA
Source: RNAcentral
UACAGAGGUCCCAAGCGUUGUUCGGAUUCAUUGGGCGUAAAGGGUGCGUAGGUGGGGUGGUAAGUCAGUGGUGAAAUCUCCGGGCUUAACUCGGAAACUGCCGUUGAUACUAUCAUUCUUGAAUAUUGUGGAGGUAAGCGGAAUAUGUCAUGUAGCGGUGAAAUGCUUAGAUAUGACAUAGAACACCGAUAGCGAAGGCAGCUUGCUACACAAUUAUUGACACUGAGGCUCGAAAGCGUGGGGAUCAAACAGG